CAAAGACGGUAUUAGUAAGCUGGCUUCCACAAUAUCAUGACAUGGGGCUGAUUGGUGGGCUUUUUACAGCUCUAGUUAGUGGUGGAACAGCAAUUCUGUUUUCGCCGUUGACCUUUAUCAAGAAUCCACUCUUAUGGCUUCAAACAAUGAGCAAAUACAAGGCUACUCAUAGUGCAGGCCCCAACUUUGCUUUCGAGCUAGUGAUUCGAAGAUUG
RNAcentral lists this unclassified non-coding RNA (215 nucleotides) under Hevea brasiliensis (rubber tree). The record is from RNAcentral. Lineage: Eukaryota; Viridiplantae; Streptophyta; Magnoliopsida; Malpighiales; Euphorbiaceae.